GGGGUUGUGGCUCAGCGGUAGAGUGCUCGCCUAGCAUGUGUGAGGCCCUGGGUUCGAUUCUCAGCACCA
Molecule: transfer RNA, 69 nt
Filed under: Marmota marmota marmota (Alpine marmot)
Lineage: Eukaryota; Metazoa; Chordata; Mammalia; Rodentia; Sciuridae
Also listed under: 3 other names
Rfam family: tRNA
About the family: Transfer RNA (tRNA) molecules are approximately 80 nucleotides in length.
Source: Rfam by way of RNAcentral